This 479-nucleotide ribosomal RNA is filed under the name Streptococcus agalactiae. RNAcentral's name for it is "bacterial SSU rRNA". It matches the Rfam family "Bacterial small subunit ribosomal RNA", at positions 330 to 805 of the family's 1533-position model. Lineage: Bacteria; Bacillati; Bacillota; Bacilli; Lactobacillales; Streptococcaceae. The record is from RNAcentral.
CCUAUUCCCUUUCCGGGGCAGCAGUAGGGAAUCUUCGGCAAUGGACGGAAGUCUGACCGAGCAACGCCGCGUGAGUGAAGAAGGUUUUCGGAUCGUAAAGCUCUGUUGUUAGAGAAGAACGUUGGUAGGAGUGGAAAAUCUACCAAGUGACGGUAACUAACCAGAAAGGGACGGCUAACUACGUGCCAGCAGCCGCGGUAAUACGUAGGUCCCGAGCGUUGUCCGGAUUUAUUGGGCGUAAAGCGAGCGCAGGCGGUUCUUUAAGUCUGAAGUUAAAGGCAGUGGCUUAACCAUUGUACGCUUUGGAAACUGGAGGACUUGAGUGCAGAAGGGGAGAGUGGAAUUCCAUGUGUAGCGGUGAAAUGCGUAGAUAUAUGGAGGAACACCGGUGGCGAAAGCGGCUCUCUGGUCUGUAACUGACGCUGAGGCUCGAAAGCGUGGGGAGCAAACAGGAUUUAGAAACCGGGUUUAUUCCCAAA